Long non-coding RNA from Esox lucius (northern pike), 1793 nucleotides. NCBI's taxonomy places the organism in Eukaryota, Metazoa, Chordata, Actinopteri, Esociformes, Esocidae. The record is from Ensembl.
AUGAGUCAGUUCAUGAUGAGGAUGAUGACGAAACUCCAGAUCUGGCUGAAAGCGUUGCUCCAUCCUCGGCAUCCCGUACAACACAACCAGGAUCCGGCCAGGAGACCCAGACGUCAGCCUCAGCCCCCCAGCCAGAGAACGGCUCCCCUAAGCCAAAGAAAUCGCACCGGUCCCCGGCCCAGGAGAAGCGCUCAGAGACACAGCCUGGGUACCAACCGCCUGAGGCCGGAGGUCCGGCAAAAAUUGCCAAGAGCAUCCCUGUCACGGAAGAACCUGCUGCCCCGUCAGCUUCUUCAGCACUGGGUAGUCCUGGCCCAAAUACUCUCCCCUCCACCUCCACAGCUCCUCACCUGUUCCUGUUUGAGCAUGAGUCUCAACAGGUGGAGGAAGAUGAGGCAUCCCAGCCUCUUACCCAGCUCCAGCUUGACCAGGCCAAGCAGCAUCUCCUCAGCCUGAUUAAGGACUCGAAACUGGGGCUUGUCGACAUCACCAAGGCCCUUCUGAAAAACAGUGGAGUCGUCUCUGCUGCUUUGCAAGACCCACUGAUUUUGCCCAAUCCAGGUAGGUAGCGUAGUCUUCGUAGUCCAACGAAGGUGAACCUUGUGUCCCGGGAACAUGGAAGUUGGAGAAAAUGAGGGAAUUGCAAGCAUCGCCCAAGUCCCUUAACAUGUUCUCCAUCCGUGGGCUCAACACCUUAGUUUGAUUCUGUACGUAUGUACGUACGUAUUUGUGUGAUGUAUUCUAUCUGGAGGGGGAGGGUUGAGAAAUCAGAAGACAACACGUUUCUGUUGGCCACUGUAACAUGUGGAAAGUCAAAUUUCAUUGCAUCAUUUCAGUGGACGGGGCUUGGCAGGGCCCUCGAUGGGAACGUUGUGAUGACCGCCUGCUGCUUUCCGGUGACACUUCGGAACUGCAAAAGAAGUUUGGAGAAAGGGGGAUUGCCAGGAGGUUGUCUUUCCUUGACGCAGACUGACACUGCAGGUUCAUUUUGGCCCGUUGUUUUGUCACGUCGUGGGGUGGAUUUUGUAUAAUCUCUUUAUUUAAUCUCUUUGUAAUUAUAUGAUCUGUCUUCUUUAUGUUCAUUAGCUGCAUGGCAACACUCACAUUUGCACCUCUGGGCCAACAUAACCCACAACAAGCCUCGAGUGGUUGAUUUGUACGUGACCAUUUGUCGUUUAAUUUCGUUGCUGUGACGUACUGGAUGCUGUGUAAUGUGUUAUGAAUAAGAGAUUGAAGUAUACUGCUUUUAACAGACUGACUGCCUGAACUUGAUCCACAACAGGUUCAUCCAUUUUUAACCAUUUAUCGUUCUUGCCUGUGGCAUGAACAGUUUUCCAAGACUGUGCUUCAUUAAUUUUGUGCCAAGUUUAAGAAAGCAUAUUUUAAAAUGUAUUUUUUUCACCUUUAAUAAUGUAUGAAUUGGAAUUAAAAUGUUCUUAUCUAGAGUGUGGCUGUUUAUUUUGACUGUAACUGUGAUAAUUUUACAUGUGAUAUAGGUUAUGUAUGUUAUUGUGAAGUUUUUCUGUAUCCAAAUUAUCACAUGAACAGCGUAUGUUUAUUUAACCAGGGAAAAUACACAUUCAGCCUGAUCCAGACAAACUUCAACAAUAACGUAAUAGUAACUACUGGGCAGUUCUAUUCAACUGACAUAAGGAUUUGAGCACAUAAUAUAUGUUAUAAUUGUACUGAACUAAUGAAUAGAGGAUGCCACAUACUUUAGAUUCUCUCUUGAUGUUGACAGCACAGGUUGUGUGAAGUGAUGACUAGAAAAUUAACUCAUGAUCUCGACAAAC